This 164-nucleotide small RNA is filed under the name Streptomyces sp. RNAcentral's name for it is "c-di-AMP sequence". It matches the Rfam family "c-di-AMP riboswitch aptamer (ydaO/yuaA leader)". Rfam says of the family: This family represents a conserved RNA structure found upstream of the ydaO and yuaA genes in Bacillus subtilis and related genes in other bacteria. The ydaO/yuaA element is thought to act as a genetic "off" switch for the ydaO and yuaA genes in its native state. RNAcentral also lists the same sequence under 1 other name. The record is from RNAcentral. Lineage: Bacteria; Bacillati; Actinomycetota; Actinomycetes; Kitasatosporales; Streptomycetaceae.
CAUCGACCAACACCGCACGGCAGGAGCGGGGGACCCAGGUAAGUCGCCGCACCGGAGAUCACACCGGUACGGCUAGGGGUUGAGUCGUGCCGCCUCAGGGCGGCACGGCCGGGCAUCUCCCGCCCGAACCCGACAGCUCACCUCGCAGGCGCCGGAGAGGAACA